This is a non-coding RNA of Pelodiscus sinensis (Chinese soft-shelled turtle), 321 nucleotides long. The record is from RefSeq and is a predicted model, not a curated record. NCBI's taxonomy places the organism in Eukaryota, Metazoa, Chordata, Testudines, Trionychidae.
GGGGCCUCUUGGCGCUAGGAAGAGGGUGGGACUCACCUUUUCCAGGUGAGACGCCGGGUUUACAGGGCUCUGGGAGUCCGACAGCCUCAGCCGGGCAUCAUGGCCAGCGCCAAACAGCAAGAUCAGGCCUGGAUCCCCAAACGCUUCAGGAAGAAAACCUGCACAACCUACAUCGAGGAUCCACGGGACGCGGGCGUCCCCCCUCAGUGCCAGUGCGGAAGCCCCCGGGCCGACCACGUCUCCGUGGCGGUGGAAGAUGCCUUUGGAACUGCUAUUGUCAGCAAAUGGGACUCGGCCCAGCACACCACGGAGGGGCCCACG